AAGUCGGUCAGCACUCUCCCCACCCAUGCGUUGCUACUAACAUCACCAUCACCACGUACUAUCACCACCAAUUUUAAAUAUAAACUAAGACAAAUUUCAAUAUGAAUUAAGAAAACGAUUGUAGAGUAAGAAUCAUAGAGUAAUACCAAACAGAUUGUAGAGUAAGAAUCACAUGUAUCAGUAGUUUACUCUACUUUAGCCAACUACCUUAUCCCAUCUAAUUUACCAUCCUACCAAAGUACCAAAUGUAUCGUAAAAUUUAUGAAAAAAACUUAUAUAAGACCAUAGACUAGAGUGUGUUCAUGGGGAUUGUCAGGGUCUCUACUAAUGAAUCUAGUUGUGUGACAAUAUUCAUGAGAAGCUGCAAAAGUUCUUGAGUGUUUGAGUUUUUCUACCUGUACUAAUCUUCAAUGAAAAUUAGGAUCUUUAGGGGAGUACUUUGUGAUCUAUUGAGUGUGAAAGUACUCGAAACUUUCAUUAAACUUUUUCACACAUAAUAUUUCCAUUUUAAAGCAAUUCUAGUUGUGAUAAUUUCUGGACUUUUAGGAACUACCUUUCUUUAUCUGAUUCUGAGACUGAAGUCAACAACACUCACAACUUAAUACAUAUAGAGCAGAAUAUUAGAUAUACCACAAUAAUAUACAUAACUUCAUAAGAGCAUAAGAAAACAAAAUCACUUAUCUCCCUAAAGCACAACUUAAUUUUUCUUUGCUCUUUGGUAAACCUUGCAAAAGAUGUUAUCUUCAUAAUUAUAGAGUCCUUAACAGUGAUUUUUCUCUUAAUUUCAUGUAAAUUAUCUUAAUUUUUCUUCGUUCUUAGGUUAACCUUGCAAGAGAUGUUAUCUUCUUAAUUAAGGACUACCCUGAUUUUUCUUUUGAUUUGAUGUAGAUUAUCUUAUCCACACCGUGAUAUAUGGAAAAUAGUUCAAGAUGCAAAAUUUUUUUUGGUCUUAUAGCAAUGGUUAGCUUCAUGCACCAAAAUUAAGUUGCUUUCUACAAUCCAUUGAAUCGUAGUUCAUUCAGGAUUUAGAAAUCCUUGCAGAGUGUCAGGGACAGACAUCAAACCUAGAUGAUCAAGGUGGGAACAAGUAUCAACUGGACUAAUUAUGCGUAUGGUUCUUGAACUUUAGAAACAUAACUUGUCAUUCGAGUCUAUCUGGAGCAUUUGGUUUGGUAGAAACAUAUUACCUUUGAAUACACAUCACAUUUUGGGAUCUAUCGGAUAACAUUAAAAUAGCUAUAACAUUAUUUUUUUAAAAAAAGCCCUAAUAUUAAGGAAAAUAACUAAAUUUUGAAAUAUCAUAACUUCAUAUUUUAGUGUCUGUCUGGAGAAAUUCUUUUAGAAGCUAUGUAACUUUUCAAGAUCUAUGUGAUUAAAUUAAAACAACUAUGACAUUAAGAAAACAGCUACUGAGCAAUGGACAAUAAAACUCAUAAUGAUAGAUGUUUAAAUGCUCUAACUUUGUAUUCGAACGAGGAAUUGUUAUACUGAGUACAAAGCUGUCAAUCAUAUUGCAGACU
Molecule: long non-coding RNA, 1520 nt
Filed under: Carica papaya (papaya)
Lineage: Eukaryota; Viridiplantae; Streptophyta; Magnoliopsida; Brassicales; Caricaceae
Description: long non-coding RNA (CPAP_LNC000293)
Source: RNAcentral